Molecule: long non-coding RNA, 2294 nt
Organism: Oreochromis niloticus (Nile tilapia)
Lineage: Eukaryota; Metazoa; Chordata; Actinopteri; Cichliformes; Cichlidae
Source: Ensembl
AUGUCUUGCUCAGCGGCACCAAGGACAUAUUUCAUUUCCCCUUCAAUGAAAUGCUGGCUUUUGAAAUCCAAUCUUCUCUCGAGUCCCCGUAGGCCGUGUUGGUGCCACAGAGCUACAAUACAGAGCGUCGAUCUGGUGGGUCGCUCAGAUGUGACCCGCUCUGGCUCGUCAGGGGAAACGCUGCUCAACAAACGCAGUUCCCACAGGAAGUGGAGAGGGGACAAAAAAGAUAGAGGGGAAGCGUGUCAAACAAGGAGAGUGACAGCAGCCAAACAGAAAACACUCAUGCGGGGAAGAAAACGGCACGAGUACAUUAGAGAAACCCGCCGCCUCCCCGCCAGCCCCAUUUGAUGAAAAGUGACGAUGGAAAGCUCUGACAAAUAGGACUCGAUCCCGCUUCCCCUGGGCUCUCACCGAGCUGCAGGCUCACUCGCCGGCCCGUGGGCCUGUUGCUCCAUUUGGAGGAGAAGGAGGGCUAUCACGAGCCUCGCCGGGCUUAGAUGUGUGUGAGACGAGAAGUCGGGGCAAAGAUUUGGGAUUUGGUGCUGUGGCGCCCGUCGAGGAUGCCCGGGCUAAUAAACAACGUGGGGAUUUGACAGCACAAAACAAACGGCUGCUCUUUGAAACACUCGGGGUGUGAGGGCGCAGCAUCGAAGGGUAUUUUCAUUUAUUUCCAGCUAAUGAUCCACCUACAAGAAUAUGUUUUUCCUCUUUUGACUGUUUGCUGGAAUAUUGCUUUGCUAAUUGGGCCACAGAUGACAAAGAGCUCUACAAAGUUUCUCUGAAGUUUGUCAAGCAAAAUACAAAUAUCUGCUUCAAACAGCGCACUUUACACCGAUGCCCCACUGUCAGGGCUUUAAGAAUAAUUCAAGGGGAACUGGUCGUAAUUAGGUUGCGCUGAAUGAAGGUAGAGCUGCAUUAAAAUGUGACAUUUCACUGAUCGCUAUAAGGAACUUUCUCCUCGGAGGAUGGAGUUGGCUUGAAGGUGCCUGAUUUGAAAACUUUACCUUAGAAACCAAAAGAAAACACAACAAACAAGGCUCAUUAUAAAAAAGGAAGCCUUCAUCUUUUGCUCCAACAUGUAUAAAAAACAAAACAACAAAGACUGUAGGAACAGGAAAACAUGUCUAAAAGUAUAUGGACACCCAUACUCAAAACACCCUUUGUGUUUUUACUUUUAUAGAUAGGCAAUUUUUUGUUCCUUGGAAUCCAAAGUAACUAAAUUAAGAUGAGAGACAAAAAUAUGUAGCCACAGCGAUCUUUUUACAUCUGAAUGUGACAGAAACAGUCUUCCAGUUUCAUGCAGAACGGUUUACUGCUCUGUAAAGACGUGUAAAGCUCAUGGCGUCACCCACAGUCACAGAAAUGGGUUUCCAACAUGAUUUAGAGCAAGUUGAUUGGUCUGUAUCUAUAAGCGAUGACAUCACCAUUAAAGGAAGAAACAAACAGCGAUGUACAAACUGUCCUCUUUAUCUUCAGUUAAGGAACGACAUCCCCUUUCAUAUUAUGGUCUCGUGUUUUGAAGCCCCAUCUUUGUGGAUGGAACUAGAAGUGACCAUAUUUAGAUGAAUAAUUGAAGUAUGUUAUAACAAUCCAGGUUUUUUAUAGUAGUUGUAAUGGGAGAAACUAUCCAGAAAGACCAAAACCUUUUACUGUAGCAGCCUGUAAACUUGUUUGUUUCUGCUGGAAAUUUAGACAUUUUAAAAUGGGAGUCUAUUGGGAAUUAAUCCGUUUUGGAGGCAGCCUCAAGUGGCCACUAGAGGAACUGCAGCUGAUGAACUGGAAGGUCAAACGUCAAGCCCACAGCUAUAAGCUUUGAUUAUCAGUGUAAUUAUGAAUGAGAAAUAUUUUAAAAUAGUCACUACUAUAUUUGACUCUCAAGCUAUCCCUCUGACAGAUAUGCAGUGAAAACAAAUAAUGAGAUUCACCUACAACAGAAACAGUGAUUAAAUCCUUCAGUACCAGCAAGUUCCCUCUGGCAGCCAAUCAGGUGUAAGUGGGGUCAGAAGUUGGACUUUGCCUCCUGUAGGGCAGCAAAAGACGCAAACAGAGAGAAAAACUCAUUUUAUAGUUUUGAAAAACCAAAAAAAAAUUCUGGCAAACAAAAUAAAUGUUUGAUUUUAAAGCAAUUGCUAAGGUCAGUAUCAAUAAGCUGAGCUGAAUUUGAAUAAAAGCAAUCAGAGACACAUUUACCAAACAAGAAUCGAGUCUCAGGUAUGUUAUCAUACAGAUUAUGCAGUAUAUUCUGUAAUAUACAUGCUUAAUAUCACAUGGAGCCUACUGUCUGUCUGAGA